This 144-nucleotide ribosomal RNA is filed under the name uncultured eukaryote. RNAcentral describes it as "partial 18S ribosomal RNA". It matches the Rfam family "Eukaryotic small subunit ribosomal RNA", at positions 1299 to 1458 of the family's 1831-position model. The record is from RNAcentral.
UGGUGGAGUGAUUUGUCUGGUUAAUUCCGUUAACGAACGAGACCUCCGCGUGCUAACUAGUUUCGCUUACAAUUUGUUGUAGGUUUGUAGACUUCUUAGAGGGACUUUUGGGUAAUCAACCAAAGGAAGUUGGAGGCAAUAACA